RNAcentral lists this small nucleolar RNA (107 nucleotides) under Theobroma cacao (cacao). Its description in RNAcentral is "Plant small nucleolar RNA R71". It matches the Rfam family "Plant small nucleolar RNA R71". Rfam says of the family: R71 is a member of the C/D box family of snoRNAs containing the C (UGAUGA) and D (CUGA) box motifs. Multiple nearly identical copies of this snoRNA have been identified in Arabidopsis, and it is thought to function as a 2'-O-ribose methylation guide for 18S ribosomal RNA. Lineage: Eukaryota; Viridiplantae; Streptophyta; Magnoliopsida; Malvales; Malvaceae. The record is from Rfam by way of RNAcentral.
AGACCAUGAUGAGGAUAAUAUUGAAGCAAUUCUUUGUAUCUUUCCCAAGCCUCGUACAAUGACUCAAAAUCUUGUUGGACGAAUGAUGUGAUGUCAUUCCACAUUUU